This 30-nucleotide non-coding RNA is filed under the name Cricetulus griseus (Chinese hamster). Lineage: Eukaryota; Metazoa; Chordata; Mammalia; Rodentia; Cricetidae. The record is from RNAcentral.
AGGGGCUGGAGAGAUAGCUCAGGGGUUAAG